RNAcentral lists this ribosomal RNA (440 nucleotides) under uncultured bacterium. RNAcentral's name for it is "partial 16S ribosomal RNA". It matches the Rfam family "Bacterial small subunit ribosomal RNA", at positions 338 to 795 of the family's 1533-position model. The record is from RNAcentral.
CCUACGGGAGACAGCAGUGGGGAAUAUUGCACAAUGGGGGGAACCCUGAUGCAGCAACGCCGCGUGGGUGAAGAAGUACUUCGGUAUGUAAAGCCCUGUCAGCAGGGAAGAAAAUGACGGUACCUGACCAAGACUCCCCGGCUCACUCCGUGCCAGCAGCCGCGGUCAUACGUAGGGGGCAAGCGUUCUCCGGAUGUACUGGGUGUAAAGGGAGCGUAGACGGCAAGGCAAGUCUGGAGGGAAAGCCCUUGGCUCACCCACGGUACUGCUUUGGAAACUGUGUGGCGGGAGGGCAGGAGGGGGAAGAGGAAGGCCUAGUGUAGAAGUGAAAUGCGUAGAUAGUAGGAGGAAAACCGGUGGCGAAGGAGGCUGACUGGACUGUAACUGACGGGGAGGCUAGAAGGCGUGGGGAGCAAAAAGGAUUAGAUACCCUUGUAGUA